CUUAUGCUAAAGUCUUUAAGUCUUUAUCUGGUUGGAAAAUUGAGAUUUUUCACAGUUUAAGAUAAAUAAUGAAUCAGUUAACUGUUUGUUGUAGUUCUACAUACAAAGUCUCUGGUACUUUCUUAUAUGUCUACUGUUUGGUUAUUGACACUGCCAGUAAUGUAAAGGUGUGUGUGGGGAGGUCCUCACUGUCUCUUAGGUAAAAGCUUAGACAUGAUCACGUCUGUGUGGUCAUCCUCUGAUGUGAAAGUUUCAAGUGUCCAGAUUUGUGUCCUUUGCAGCCGUUAACAAUUUCUCUAAACAGAUGUUCACUCAAAUGAACCUCUGCUUGCAUUGUCAGUGUCACUAAGCAACUGGAUUAAAGGCGCUCUGAGUUUUUAUGUAAACAAACAAAAGCUAUGUGUUCUUACAUUGUUGACCCAUCUAAACACACUGUGUGUACCCUUGAGGUCUAACAGAUGGAUUGAAUGCAUUUAUUUUUUUAACAUUUUGAAACCUUGUUAACGCCCAUCUUUUUUCUAGCUUGCGAUCUUCUUCUUCCCCGUCUGUGUGGGCCAUUGCUGUGUAUGGUGGGACGUUACCGCCGCCUGUAGGACGGUGGAAUAGUGUGAAUCCAUUGGCUCCAUUAGCUCAAACACACGUCAGCUAUGAGCUGGAGGAUGAUGUGGCGGUUAUACGACUCAAUGAUCCAACAGCCAAGGUGAACACACUGUCAGUGCAGAUGCAGUCUGAGCUGAUGGGGGAGAUCUGGUCGAACGGAGCUCUGAAAAAGUGCCGUUUUCAUCUGUUUCACUUGCCGGUGCAGUUUGUGCCAGUUCCAAAUUGCCACAAGAAACAUAAAUAAAAUAAAAAAAAAGGUCCCAGGGACACCAGAGGUCAUGUUGGGAUUGCUGCCCGGAGCAGGCGGCACUCAGAGACUGCCUAAAAUGGUGGGUCUCCCUGGAGUGUUUGACAUGAUGCUGACAGGCGGGAACAUCAGGGCAGAUAAAGCCAAGAAGACGGCUCUAGUGGACCAGCUUGUGGACCCUCUGGAGCUCCAGGACACAGUGAUGGGUGAGGUCUGUGAGAAUGACUGUCAGUGAGAAGGCCCAGAAACAGACUAAAGGCCUCUAUCUUUCGCUCCUGUCAAUGUCAUUGAUGUGUCUGGACCGGAGUGGAGGAGGGCAGAGAGGUAAUCUGGAUGAGGCUGAGGUGGGUUUGUUAAAAAAAUAAGAAAAGUAACUUAACAUCAAUUAAUUUUUUUUUUUUUUCUUCUCCCAGUUGUAUAAAAACAAUGUUUCUGACAAUUUAGUCCCUAAUCAUGGUCCUUAUAUCACAGACUAACUAUAUCAGCUAGAUUCCAGUCUAUUUUUGGCUCUUACACAGAACUUUAGGAAGCUGACAAUGUAUUGUUAACAACACCUUAAACAUGUGUUCUAUUGCCUCAGUGUCAGCAAUAUGACAACUGUACAAUGUGUUGUAUGGAGGCUGGCUGAUGGCUGCUGGUGUAGCCCAGGUAUCAAAAGAUAAAGGCCAGACCACAUCCUAAAGGACACCACAGUGGAGAGCAUCAGCAGGGGACAUGAACAGGUCUACAAAAGAGUGAGAUGCACAUGUAGAUUUGCAUUUCGACAUUCCUCAUUAAUGAUAAAAGCAGGUGGCUCCUCUUUAAAGUGUUACUUUCUUUGUCGUCGUCACACUGUCCAGUCUUUCAGUCUGAUAAAGGCUGCGUUCGAGGACACCGACCUUAAACAGUCCUCAAGGAGGCAGUAGGUACAAUCUCAUGCUCUGGAAUUUCUUCAGUUUAAAGGUUUGCACAGUUUUAAACAAUCCAAAAUGGUUGAAUUGUUUCACACAUUUUGUUGAGAGUAGUACUAAAAAGAUAUUCUGUACUAUCAAUAGUACAGUAAAUGUGCAUUUGUUGUGUAUUUCUGUGUUAUUUGGAGCAAGAUCAGGUAACCUUUUGGCUGCAGACCUAACUUGUUAGCUCAGUGUGAAGAUGCACCGCUGACAUACUGCAUAUUGCACUUUUAUAUUUUGUUUUAUUUAUGUAUUUGCACACUCUACAAGAUGAAUCAGUAUCUUACAUUAAACUGUCCCCCUAAAAUCAGUGGCUGUCUCUGUUCAUUUUCCCCACUAAAAUUACAAAUAUUUGCAAUUUUAUGUAAAGUAUAAACCAUCAGCAAUCAGUAAAUAUAUUGAGUCAAUAAUUACAAACUGUAUCCAGACAGUGACUCCAAAAAACAACUAGUUUUAACCCUCUGUCGCACUCAAUGAGUCUAAUAUGUUUAUUAUCAAUUGUAGAAGUCUUAAAAAAGGCCUCUUUAUCAAUAACAGUGGAGUGGAAGACAAGAGUGUGAAUCCUGAAGUUGAAGAACUCUUCAGGAAAUACAAACUGACAGCUCUUAAUCUAUCUGAUCUUUUUCUCUUAAAAUGAUCACGUGUGCUUGACAUCCCGCACCAGUUGCUUUAUAAAUGAGGCAGUUCUGUGUCUCUAGGAGGGAAUACAGAGACACCCAGUAGAGGGAGACAUUGGAGCCGUGUUCAGAGCUGGCUUUCCUCCCUGCUGUGGUGGUAGGUCUCAGUUUGAUACUGCGAGUUCCUUUGUGAAGCACUACACCACCCUCACGCUUUUAGUUUAAGUACCCACCAUAACAGAGUCCCCUUGUAACACCAGUGGUGACAAAUUUGUAUUUUAGUUUAAUGCACUUUACACUUAUACUCUAUCUACAAUGAUCUGAAAGAAAUGUAGUUUCUAGGGAUUUUUUAGGUUAAGAUUUUACAUUAAAAAAAAAAAUUAAUAACAUUAUUACACAUUAAAUGUUCAUUAAGCUCUUAAAUACAGUCUGUGAUAUAAAGUAGGUAAAACUAGCUCAACAGCUACAUCGGUAAAAUGCUGCUUACAUACUGAUGCAUCAGUAGUAGUUUAUAAUAAUCAGGCACAGUUCCAUUGAGCUGUAAAACAACUACUUGAUAUUUUAAGUACAUUUUAGCAAUAGUACUUCUGUAUUAAGAUUAAAGUAAGAAUAAGAUUUUGAAUGCAGGACUUUUUUACUUUGUGCUGAAGUAUUAUUAGAUUGUUUUAUUGUAUUGAUUUUACUUAAAAAAGGAUCUGAGUACUUCUUCCACAUCUGUUUACCACUGAGGCAUCACCUUGUUAAUGAUCUGUACGAUUGCUGUUGAGGUAAUCAGUUUUCUCGUGCACCAUGUUGUGUGAGACAAGAAUUUAUAUCCCGUAAAAGCUUGAAAAAAAGAAAGUAGAAAAAAAAUGUUUUCUACUUCUGAUCUUUGUUGUUUUUCAUAUCUGUUUAUGAAUCUGUCAUAAGCUCCUGAUUCAUCAUCUGCUGGGUUCAGUUCAAAGUGUAAAACUCUUCAUAUCUUGUUUUUCUCUGUUUAUAUGAAGGCCAAUUUACUUCUGAAACCACAAACGUUGCAAUGUCUAAGCUGUGCUUGUUUUAUUUGUACCUGGAAUAAGAUGUUUACUCAUGCUUCUUUACUUAAAAAUGUUUAUUUAUACUUUAUGAUAUACAGUUGUGGCUGCAAACUACAUAUGGCUAAACAGCCUGUGGCACUGCCCAUUUCUCUGAUAACUGAUCUGGGAUGCUGUUUUAUUUUAUCUUUUUCUUUCAAUGCAAUAAUAGUGCCACAGUAUCCGGCCUUAUCUGCAAUAAACCUCCAACCUCCUGUCUGUGAGUUGUUACGACUGCAGCUCCCCACAAGCACAAGA
This is a long non-coding RNA of Dicentrarchus labrax (European seabass), 3706 nucleotides long. RefSeq lists it as uncharacterized. The transcript is spliced from 7 exons. NCBI's taxonomy places the organism in Eukaryota, Metazoa, Chordata, Actinopteri, Moronidae. The record is from RefSeq and is a predicted model, not a curated record.